RNAcentral lists this long non-coding RNA (2206 nucleotides) under Salmo salar (Atlantic salmon). RNAcentral describes it as "lncRNA (ENSSSAG00000084154.1)". The record is from RNAcentral. Lineage: Eukaryota; Metazoa; Chordata; Actinopteri; Salmoniformes; Salmonidae.
GUAUUUUCGAUUUUAGAUCUCCCCAACAUGACGUCUAGUCUGUAUCGCAACGCGUAUUUUUCUGGGCGCAGUGCUCAGAUUAUUGCAAAGUGUGAUUUCCCAGUAAGGUUAUUUUUAAAUCUGGCAAGUUGAUUGCGUUCAAGAGAUGUAAAUCUAUAAUUCUUUAAAUGACACUAUAAUAUUUUACCAAUGUUUUCUAAUUUUAAUUAUUUAAUUUGUGACGCUGACUUGACUGCCGGUUAUUGGAGGGAAACGAUUUCCUCAACAUCAAUGCCAUAGUAAAACGCUGUUUUUGGAUAUAAAUAUGAACUUGAUAGAACUAAAAAUGCAUGCAUUGUCUAACAUAAUGUCCUAGGAGUGUCAUCUGAUGGAGAUUGUAAAAGGUUAGUGCAUCAUUUUAGCUAGUUUUAUGGUUUUGGUGACCCUGUCUUUGAAUUGACAAAACAUUACACACAACUCUUGUAAAUGUACUGUCCUAACAUACUCUAAAUUUAUGCUUUCGCCGUAAAACCUUUUUGAAAUCGUAAAACGUGGUUAGAUUAAGGAGAUGUUUAUCUUUCAAAGGGUGUAAAAUAGUUGUAUGUUUGAAAAAUUAGAAUUUUGACAUUUAUUUGGAUUCAAAUUUGCCGCUCUUGAAAUGCACCUGCUGUUGAUGGAGUGCACCACGGGUGGCACGCUAGCGUCCCACCUAGCCCAUAGAGGUUAAAGCUGCGGCCCUGUACCUGCCACUGCACGAGGGUGGGCAAGGCCUGGUGGACAUUUCUUCUAGGAUCAAGGCUUUCCGGCUUCAAGCAGCCCAGAGACUGUUGUACAGUAACGGUUCUAGCUGGGUCGACACAGCCUACACAUUGAUGAGGAGAGCGGGCUGUUUGGGCUUAGACAAGCACCUUUUCCUCUUAAAACUGGAGGGGUGUGAUUUGUCUGGCCUGACUCCAUUCUAUGAGUCUGUUAUGCAGGCUUGGAGAGUUUUUGUCAAGUCCCGUAAGGCCGGCACGCUACCAGGGAUGUGGCUUUUUGAAGAGCCUCUUUUUCACAAGCCAUCCAGUCUUAUGCUCUGGGUUCAGCCAGCCUACGUUCAUGCCUGUUAGGUGUGGGGUGUACCAUACCAUCAUUUGAUGCGGAGCAGGAGCAGAUCGUUGGAGGAGCUGGGAGAAAGAGCGGGGAUCUGGUCAUCUCGCCUACUGAGGAAGGUCGUCGCUGAGGUCUGACUCCUUGCCAGUACUUCAUCUGCAGUAUGUGACUGACACUUCCAAUUCUGAUCGGUGGAAGGAGGGUCUGGAUUAUGUGUUCCCUGCACUGAUUGUUAGUGCUGAGGUGGGAAAGAAGGCCAUGUACAGAAUAUGUGUAAAAGUGUCCCAUGCCUCUUCCCUGGAAGGAGUAAAAUUGACGAGGUGGGCGGGUGUGUUUGGUCCAGGUGCAUCCCCAAAAGGCUGUUGGCGAUUAUUAUACAAACUGCCUAUUGAAAAGAGGACAGCUGACCUCCAAUGGAGGAUAAUACAUGGAGCCAUAGCCACCAACAUGCAUCUGGUACAUCUGGAUCCUACUGUUGGGGAGGGGUGUCCAUUCUGAGCUGAAUCUUAAACUCUGGCACAUUUGUUUUUACAGUGUCCCAGGUUGGUGGGGAUGAUUGACCUGCUCACUAGUUGGUUCUCAGAUCUGGGAGAGGUUUUCUCUUCCCAACUGUUUAUAUUUGGGCUAAAGUACAGGUUUAAUUAAAAGGGUGCAGUUGUGUUGCUUAAUUUUGUGUUAGGAGCAGCUAAAUUAGCGAUAUGGAAGACCCGAAAGAACAGUAUUUGUGGACAGGGGUCUGUGGAUGUGGUGGGAAUGCUGAAGGGAAUGUUGGCAGCGAGACUGAGGGUUGAGUUUGCCUAUUAUAAACUGGUUAACAAUAUUGAUCUGUUUAUGAGUAUAUGGGGUAUUCAGAGUCUGUUGUGUUUAGUUACUGUGGAGGAGGAUUUGGAGUUGUGUUUUUAAUUGAUGUGUAACUAUGGUUUUGUUUGAGUAUUUAUUGUGUUGUGGGCUCUCAGACCCAAUAAAGAGUAUUUCAAAUUCAAACUCUCUCUCUUUCUCUCUCUCUCUCUCACACACUCACACACAAAAGCAUACACUCUCUCACACUCUGAGAGACCCACAAACACUCUCUCUUUCUCUCUCUCUCUCUCACACACUCACACACAAAAGCAUACACUCUCUCACACACUCUCUG